RNAcentral lists this long non-coding RNA (204 nucleotides) under Panax ginseng (ginseng). RNAcentral describes it as "long non-coding RNA (PGIN_LNC010555)". The record is from RNAcentral. Lineage: Eukaryota; Viridiplantae; Streptophyta; Magnoliopsida; Apiales; Araliaceae.
UUACAUAUCUUAUACUUUUCGUAUUCUAAUUCUCUCUCCAUAUUUAAUAAGUAUAAUAAGUUACUCUCUCACCUACAUUAGAAAUGAUUAAUGAAAUAUUAUUAUGGGCAAUUUUAUCAUUUUAUUUCUCUUUCUUAAUAUGUGUAGAAAGUUCAUCAAGACUUUUAUCCUGGGACGGAGGGAGUACUAAUAUAUUGAGUGAGG